RNAcentral lists this ribosomal RNA (392 nucleotides) under uncultured bacterium. RNAcentral's name for it is "bacterial SSU rRNA". It matches the Rfam family "Bacterial small subunit ribosomal RNA", at positions 362 to 771 of the family's 1533-position model. The record is from RNAcentral.
UAUUCGGCAAUGGGGGAAACCCUGACCGAGCAACGCCGCGUGAGGGAAGACGGUUUUCGGAUUGUAAACCUCUGUCCUCUGUGAAGAUAGUGACGGUAGCAGAGGAGGAAGCUCCGGCUAACUACGUGCCAGCAGCCGCGGUAAUACGUAGGUGGCAAGCGUUGUCCGGAUUUACUGGGUGUAAAGGGCGUGCAGCCGGGCCGGCAAGUCAGAUGUGAAAUCUGGAGGCUUAACCUCCAAACUGCAUUUGAAACUGUUGGUCUUGAGUACCGGAGAGGUUAUCGGAAUUCCUUGUGUAGCGGUGAAAUGCGUAGAUAUAAGGAAGAACACCAGUGGCGAAGGCGGAUAACUGGACGGCAACUGACGGUGAGGCGCGAAAGCGUGGGGAGCAA